This is a non-coding RNA of Taeniopygia guttata (zebra finch), 9257 nucleotides long. The record is from RefSeq and is a predicted model, not a curated record. Lineage: Eukaryota; Metazoa; Chordata; Aves; Passeriformes; Estrildidae.
GGCCCCGCUCCCGGCCCCGGCCCCGCUCCGCUCCGCUGCGGCGCCCCUGGCCCCGCGCCCCUUCCCACGGGAGGCGGGGAGGCACAAACAAAGGAACCCGCCGGCCGGCUGCUGUUUGUCUGGUGUCACUGGCUGCCCGAGGCAGAUAUGGGACACCCCAUAAAGCAGUGUUUACAUUUCUCCCGCCACUUUGACCCCUUGCUGCAAUCCCGUGUGCUUUGUGUUAUACAAGGGGGUGCGUGACCAGCUUUCAUCAUACUGAUAGAGCCUUUAAGUCGUUCAUGAGGAUUUUAGAGACUGCCUUGGCCGGGGCAGGAGGCGCCGGGCUCCUGACAGUUGCAGAAAGUGCCUGAGGACAAACCUUUAGAGCACAAGCACUCCGUAACGCUGCCCAAAGUUGUAGAUGGUUGGUACUCGCUGGUGGAUCAGAAAAUAAAGCAGAUCCUAAGGGUCUGGGCCAGUAUGUGCUAAAUAAAGCAUCCAAAUCAGACAGUGCUUAUAUUUUCUUCUUUAUAUGUCUUUCUUAUUCCUUGAGUAUUGGAAAAAAAAAUUAAAAAAACCCUUUAGCAGGCUUUUUGCCUCUCCUGUUCAAUCCACAGCUUCCCCUCUCAUGACAGGGACUCAUUUUUGUUUUGAAUAAAGCAUCUGGCAGAGUAGUUUUUCUAUAAUUUUAGACAUUAUUCCCUUCUGUCACUGCCUUAGAGAGUCUUUCUAAUACCUUAUUGCAGGUACUGCAAGACCAUUUUCAUUAGUUCAUGUAAAGUGCUUUGAACAAAAACAUGCUAGAGCAAUUCUAACCAUGAGAUUAAUUCUUCAGUCUUAAUGUUACCUGGUUCCCCUUGUCUUAGCAUGUUUUCAGCUCACUGUAGUAUAUGCAUCAGCUAUUUAUGUCUAACUCAGACAUACAAACAUAUCAUUACUUUUUUUUUUUUUUUUUAGAAUUUCAAAUUAAAACUUCAGAGUAGUGAUGGGGAAUUAAUUUUGGAACAUCUGUUUUGAUUUUUUGCCUUAAAACUUGUUUAUAAAGGUGUCACUGUGUUUAUGCAACUAGGUUCCCUAGUGGAUGCAUUUUCCAGAGUAUAAAAUCUUCCAAUGUUCUCACUGAGUAUGUUUGUUUUCAAGUUAACAUCGCAGAGCAGGAGAUAUUACUUCACAAAACAAAUAUAAAAGGCCUUUCACAAACUCCUCCCAGCUUCUCUGCUUACUCCGGUUACCAGCUAAAUCACUGGCAGAAAGAAUAAUCUACUGUGCAUUUUUAAAAAAAUAUAACAGCAAAUCAUUGGAAAUUGCUUAUUAAAAGAUUUUUAUGUCAGUUUUGUGUUGUGCCUACUUAUGUGGCAUUUUCCAUUUAAAUUUUUUUUUUCCUGGGACCAGUCUCAUGAAAUAAUGUUUGCCAUUGAUAAUGGCUACCAGCAUUCCUAGAGGUGACUUUGCUUUAACACAACCAAGGCAAACAAACCUCCCAGCUGGCAGGGAAAGAGGACGAAAUUACUGCAAAAGUUGAGACAGUGUAUCUACAGACAACAGUAAUCAACUUCUGUAGAAAUCCUUUACUUGCUUGUACACAUCUCAAGUUACUCAUUCCUCUUUGCUUUUCUGAGAAAAAGACUGUUAUUCAUUCUCUUGUUUAAUCAAGCUGUCUGCUAAAGCACACAGUGUUGAGUAAUACCUGGUUUCCUUGUAAGUAAAGUAUUGUAGGUUAUCUAAUUGUCUAUUUUUUGCGUGUGCGUGUCUGAAAUUUGUUUGAGUUUGUGUGCUCAGACAUCAAUGGCACUUCUUUGUUUCCUUUUUAUAAAGUUGUAAAGUUUUUUCCAUCCCUCUCAACCUUAGCUCACAGGGUUAGGCCAAACACUGCCAGCAGAAUUAACACUGCUGGAUAAAGGGAAGAGGCUGAAGUGGUUGCCACUUCAGGGAAGAGGAAGGAGAUGCCCCACAUCUCUAGAUCCAUGGCCACUCUUCACUAACAGCAAAAAUUGCCCCGUAACAACUCUUCUACAUCUGAUGGGGAAGGAGCUUUGCAUAGGCAGGAGAGCACAAGCUCCCUGGUAUGAGAUAGAAGCACUGCAGUGGCUGGGGGUAACAAGAACAGGCAGGGGUGAAGCAAUGGCAGUAAAUCUGCAUUUAUCCUGUUCUGCUCAGAUGCCUUUAGGUAAUUUGUUUCUCAACUAAAAGCACCCUAAAUGCAGCCAAAUGUCUAAUCAGAUGUGAUAAAGGCUCUCCCUGUUUCAACUUGGUUCCAUUUGGAUACUCUUCAUACUUUUUAAUACUCAUACAGCUGUUAUGGAGACUACAAAACAGCUACUUGAAGCUGUUUGCACAGUGUAAGCUUUCAUCUUCCUUGAGGUUUGUUCUGCUGUCUCAGGUCCCAAAGAGCAGCUCCUCUGUUAUUCUCUCUGGCACUUGCUGCUUCUCUAUAUUAACUGCAAGUGAUCCCAACAGGAGCUGUAACUCCACAGUGCACAUAGAAAUAAGGACUAAAAUGUCACUCAAGAAGUCUCUGACUGCACAACUGAAGGGAUAUUCCUUAAAAGAACAAAUAAAAAUGAGGCAUUAGUUUUAGCUCUCAUGCCUGGGACUAAGCCAAUGUAAAUGACAAGUAAAAUACUAAAUUAAAGCAGAUUAAGAUUGAUUGCCCAAUACAGGUGGGGCAUGCUGUACCUGGAUUUCACAAGUUUUGUUGGCUUGUGUCCUAUAUUCAUCUAGGUGGAAAAUCAGGGGUUUGAUCUACAUUAAGUCUUUCAAGAUGGAAAUCUUCAUGCAAAAUCAGUGAUUGGAUUACUUUCCUGAGCCCUUUUUUCCUAAUUUUGAAAUCGUGUCAUGCUUGGAAAGUGAAAACCCUCUUUCUUUUCCUAUUUGCUAUUGGUAGCAAUCAGCUGACUUACUAAGAUGACAGAAAUAACUGAUUCCAACUAUUUUCCUUGGUGUUUCUGGCAACUUUUUAAAGCAAGCUAGAGCACAGGCAUAUUUUAAUAAAUUAUUAUACUCUAAAUAGAACCUCAAUGAAACAAGACCUUUUUUCUACCACCUUUGUAUAGACUUGGUAACAAAUGGCCACUGUAUCAAGUAUUGACUUUAAUUACAUGUCAGACUAGAAAUUUGCUCCUGAAUACAAAUUCAAUGCAAGAAUAAAGCAAGCUCUGAGAAGGGCCCCUCUCUUUACUUUAUCAGUAAUAACAAACUAACUUACCUUUACACAGGUAAGACACAUACCUGAUUUGUUGCUUUGCAUUCAUGCUAAUUUUAACUGACCGUGUUAUGGAAAUCCCUUUAUAUCUGUUACUCUGACAUUUCACUUAUACUCUCCUUUUCUCCCCAGUUCCUGAUUGGGUUUUACACAAUGCCAAGUUCUGUGUAGGUUAAGUUGCCUUACAUCUCCUUGCAAAGUGUGUGCAUAUUAGCCAGCAUUUCAGGAUCUGCAGGUCAGCUCAGGUGACACUGGAAGCAGGGCCUGGCCCAGUGUAAGGCACGCAAGGUCCUUCCAAACUUUCAAACUACUGAAAGAGAAUUGUAGGGUGGAAAGGGGGAGAGGGAUGGUGUGCAGGGAUAUAUUGGCAUCAUGUAGGAAGUUCCUUCAGAUAGCACAGGUGGGUAACACAUCCCAACCCUGGGCCUGGAGCCAUGGGCCUUCAAUGGCAUUAUACAGUUUCUAUACACUGAAACCCCUAUUUUUCUGUUUGCUUUAAAGCGAAAGGGUUGUACAUUCAUCUCCUGUGCCCACGCUUUUUAUUUGCAUAACAAUUGCAGUAGGUUCCUGUUUCACGUUUAUUCAAGCCACUUCUUCACUACCUACAUUGUUAUUUAGACAAUAAAACUACCAAAAUCCUUCUACUUAGGUAGCUGAAAUCUCAGGCAGCUUCUGCUAAAGUAUUUUGAUUAAAAUACUGUAGAGCUAUUUUUUUUUCCCUCACUAAUUCAUCAGACUUUUAAAUUUAAUAGAAAAAAUCUGACUUAUAAUCCAGCCUUAAUUGUAAAUGCAAGUUGACUGUGUCCCUGGGAGUUUUGGGAAGAUAAAGCACAAUUUAGACAAUGACAUGCAGAAAUAUAAUUUAACAUGCCAAGAAAAAGAUACAAGAUUGACUGGUACACCCAGUAAUGAAAGAUGUUAAGCUUAAAUUGCCAUCCUAUAAUUUUCUGAAUUCUGAAUUCUUUGAAUACGUGACUAUGUGCACACGAAGGAAGUAUCUUCCAGGCAAGAGCAUCUGACCUCAUUAAGACAGAACUGUUGUUCCUCAGUUGUCUGUACAUGUUGCAUACAUAAGUGAAUCUGUAGUAAAACCCAUGGUUUUUAAGAGGCCAAAAACUACUGCAGAUGAAGGUGAAAGAAAACUGGUUUCAAGAGCACAAUUAUCAAAAUCAUGUGUUCAUAAGCUCACCACCCACAGAAUCCAGUUUUUGAUAUUUUCUGGUUGAAUACCUUAGCAAAAUUUAUUCUUAAAUAGACCUUUUCCAAUAACUCUUCAAGUUAAGAGGGUCUUAAUGUCUAAUCAUUUCCUAAUGAAACAUUAUUUUAAUUCUUUCAUUUAAUUCAGUUAUGAAAUCUAGUGGUUUAUCUAUAAAUUUUGAAUGGCAAAAAUUUUGAAUGCAAAUCCGCUUCGAUCAAUGUGUCAGGGAAAAGUUACCUGAGGGCAAGUCCUGUUCUGUAAUCUCAGAAUCAGAUCUGCCAAUUAAUGGUCAGCCCCACCAAUUGUCUCAUGUGAUAUGUGGGGGCAUGCAAGUCAUCACUGCCGUUUUAAGUCAAAAUCCAGAAUUUGCCUUCUCCUUCCUCCCCAAAACAGCUCAUGUCAGCUUGAAUUACACAAGCAUAAUACAAACUCAAAGCCUUACUCCAUGGUAAGCAGGUCAGGUUUAUUUUUCUGCUGUGAGCUGUUUUAAUAAAAAGAUUGGAAUGCUAAUUCAAGUCUUCAGGUCCCUAUUAGUUAAGGGCCUCUGGGCUGUGCUUUCUUGGCCUCUUGAGAGGAGGAGAGAAAAAAGCAAGCAAGUAACUUGGCUACUACAGCAUAGAUCUCAGCUAUGCUGAAAUGUUUGGGUUUGCCAGCUCUGAUUGUAGAGCUUGUUUGUGCAAGUCACAGCAAAAGCAGUCUCAAGGAAAUAGUACAGUGUUUCAUAGUGUGAUGUUAUUGCCUGAUAACCAUCAAGAGGAGCCACAAAGCAGUGGCGAUGAAAAUGAAACAACUGGGAGCAGCCAGGAGCCGGUAAAUUCUGAAAUUCAGAAAUAGUUAUAAUACCACUGUUCUCUUCUGGGAAUAAAAGCAGCCCAUUUUUUUGUGGCCUCCUCAAGGGAACUCUUUUCAAUUCUUUCCUAUUGCCAUUACCAAAUCCACACAUGCUCUCUCCAGAGUGAUGGUUUUCCUUUGAAAUUUGCUGAAGAUUUAACAAAGACAGUGUCAGGUCAGUUUGUACCCUUCUUUAGUCUUUCUGGGCCUGGUGGUAUUUUGCAGUUUGCCAGCACUCUCAGUUGGUACCUUUGUAAAUGGAACCUCCAGGUACACUAAAACUCCUAAGAGACAAAGCAGCUCCUGGCAGGGCAUUGCCUUAUUGUAGUUCUUUGGAGUGAUAUGUUCUGGCAUCACAUUGCUUCUUUGAUCAAGUAAUUCUGCCGACACUUCUUGCAUCAUGACUCUCUCCUUGAGAAACAGCCCAUCAUUUCAUACUGUUGUCUUUUCCUGAUGGGUUUCCUGAGGCUCUGGGGAUGUCUAGGGAAGAGGAAACUUCCCCAAACCUGGUAACUGCAUAAAGAUUUCUGUUGACUUUGUGCCAAUGAAUUCCUGUUCAUGUAUAAAAAUCCCUUCUCCCAACUUUGUGUGAUAUUUAGAUACAGUUGUUAAAAUAAUUGUGUCUGGCUUGCUUCAGGUUUCAUCAGGUUUGUUAAAAGAUGCAUUUCCUCUAAAAAGAGCAGAGAGACAGAAGUAACAGUUGAAGGAAGUAAUUUCAAAAGAGCAUAUUCCAAAUCCUGGAAGAUUAUUUUAUUCCUUUAAGAUCCCUUAAUUAUCCAGAAGAUGGCUACUAGAAAACAGUGCGUUUUUAUAUUGGCUCUUUUCCAUGUGGAAGUGAAAGAUGGCUUCUACAGUUUUAAAAAAGGGCUACUAUCAUGAAUCUGUUUGCUAAGACUGUCAGAGGAGUGGCAGGAGCCUGGCCUUGCUCCGAGCUGAAGCUGAAUCAUGUUGUGAGCACAGUGUGAGGUGCCGCCAGAGGCAGGAGGCUGGAACAGAGCUUGUUUUGUAGGGCUGGGCAUUUCUUCUCCUCCUUGAUGUGGUUUAUACCCUCUUCACAAGGCAGGACAAUCAGCCUGGAACUUACGAGUUCCUGCUUAGGAGUUUGUUAGAGCUCCUGUUAUGCAAGCUUCCCUUUUGCAAAGCUUUGCCUGCUGGAGCACACCUUGAGAGAGGGAGGCCAUGAGACACUGGCAAGUGUUGGGGGAUCCCUACAGGAGAGCAAAACAACUCCAGUGGCCCAGUUCCUGCUCCCCCUGUGUGUUCCUUGGCUUGUAGGGACAUAAAUUGUCUCAGCUCAGGUGUGUUGCUGACGUGGUUAAAGACUGCUUAGCUUUCUGCAGUGAAAUAAAUUGAUGACCUGUUGCAGCCCUUUUCCUGCUGCUCUGCAGUUUGAUAUUGAGGUUAUCAACAUCACUUUUGCAUUUCCUGCUUUCAUACAGAUAUUUCCACAGACCUUCCAAAAAGUAUUUGGCAUAACCCUCCCCUUGGAUACCCACACCCAUCACCACAGGAGCAACCUUGACACAAGUAGCUGGUGACUGAUUCUGCUGUGUCUGAAGGGUCUGAGCAGAAUUCUGCCUUGGACCCAUCUGCAGAGUCUCAGGCACUGUCUAGACUCCCCUUGAUGCUGGCUUCUGAUACCCCUGCUUUGAGACUUUCACCCAUUAACAUUCGGCACUUGUUCUUGCCUGUUGUUGUUUUUUGUUCCUUCUUUUUGAAAUGGUAAGAUGGUACUUUUUGUGCUAAAAAACUUUUUUAGAUUUUUUUUUAAGAAUCUGUUUAGAACUUUUUAUUCUAAACUAAAUCUGAACAAUCUCUGAUACUCCUUUAUUUCCCAUAGAGAGACUGGAAAUCAAGUAAUAGAAAAAUACUAAGUGGCCAUAGCAAUUUUUGUAUAGAUUUUACUAGGAGAGGGUAUAGCAAGUUUUGUGAAGACAGUUCUAAAGCUGAUAUUAGCUCGUUGUCAGGGAAGGAAAAGGCUCCAGUUAUUUAAAAGCAUUUCUCUUUUGAAAGACAAAAAAGACAAAAGCUCUUGUAGCUGAGACCAAGAAUUACAAAUUAGUCAAGAGAACCAUGUGCCUUUAAGUCCAUGUGGGAACUGUGUGUACCACACAGAAAAUGUAGUAUUCCUUCUCUAACCAGAUUUUAUGGAGAGAGAACUAUUGUGUAUGGUUUGCUAUUUGUUCCAGAUCCAUCAUUUGAGAAGCAAAGGGAGUUUGUGGAGUAGGUGAUGAUUCUAUAUUUGCAGUGGUGGCAAAACUACUGAGUUUGGCCCUAGUAAAGAUAUAAAUGGCAUCAGUGCUAAUAAGCUCCAACAUUAUUUAUGAUAAAUGUGGCAUAGACACCAAAAAGGUCUGUUACCUUUGUUUUAAAGGCUGUACCACUAUAAAAACUCUAUAAGUACAUUAUGAAAUGCCAGGUACCUUUCAGCAUUUCACUAGCCAAAGAAGCAGCUUUUUUAAAUUGCACAACAAAAUAGUAUUUGUGAGCAAAAAAUGUAAUUAGUCUAAUGUAAGGUAUUUCUAUUAUUAGGGAGUUGGUUUGUUUUGGGUUUAAUCUAAUAAAUCGGAGUAUUUCUAUUUUAUGUUGCUGUGUUCUCAGACUGCCUAACUUUAUGCAAAGAAAGUAUCAUCCAUAUUCCUUAACAGAUUUGUAUUACUUUGCAAAUCUAGUGAAACUAAUUGAAUUUGCUGUAAGAACCAAAUGUAACAAAAAUAAGUGGGAAUUUUUCUUCAUUUCAAGCAAAUUGAAUUUGUUCUUGUUCUGAAUACACUUUUCUCUUCCUACUUAUUUGUAAUGAGAAUGAAACAGCGUUGUGCUGUCAGUGGACCCCAGAUAGCUUGAAAAGAACAUAUUUUUUGCUCUUUGAAUUACUCAUAAAUUACUAAACUUCAGCCUCAGAUAAAUGUAGUAUCUAUCUGGCAUCCCUAUUUCUAAUUUUUUAUUCAGAGCUGAAAUGCAGCUCUUAAUUUGGAGACUCACUUAGGUCAACAAACAUAAAAGCAAAUGACUUGAUGGACUCAGUGUGUCACUUUCAAUUAUUUUAAGUGAACAUUUUUUUUCAAUUGCUGCUAAAUGUAAGGCCAUAUAAAAUUAACCCUUUGAAUCAGGAUCAUGUAAGCCAAAUUGUCUGGUCCUAAUGCCAUUUCUAACUACAUAUUUAAUAGUCCAUGGUGGAAAAGCAGAAGUUAGUUAAGGCUUGCCAGCUAUAAAUUCUAUAUCCAAAUCCAGGAACUGGCUGUAAAUACAUGGACUAAGAAGAGGCUUUCUGAGUCCAUGCCCAGAGCAAGUUGCUAUGGGUAGUUUUCUACAGAAAACUAAUCAGUCUGAUUUUGCAGUUCCUUAGUCCAUCUGACAAUGCUGUCACUGUUAGGAUGCCUCCCUACUAUCUCUGAAAUAUACAUUAGAACAACUCUAAAUUUAUUAUUGCUUCUCUCACUUAUUCUUCUUGUAAUAUUGGCCUUUACUUUCAGUUAAUCUUUUUUGUUUAAACCACUGCUGGUUUUUUCAAUCAGGCAUGCCUUGCCUUUUUUAUGUCCUUAUUUUAUUUGGCUUUUUAAAGAGAUGUGAUUGCUAAUCAACAUUCAUUAGCUUCUUUCCCUGUGUUCUCAUGAUGUAUUCAGUUUCUCACAGGAAAAAUGGCUGUCUGUUCAGAUUUUGGAGACUAGGAAGCUUUUAAAUAUUCAUGGUGAUUAUUUAGCACUUCUGUUUAUCAUGCAGAGCCUCACUAUGAUAUAUUUUGUGAAACAUCUCUACAUGGAAAAGUGGGGUAAUCAUACAAGGAAUAUUUAAUCUAAGUAUAAAAUAAAUAAGCAAUAAGUAUCUUUACUAUUUUUACUCUCAAAGAACUAAAGGUCUCGAGGUUUCUUUUGUUGAUGGUUUCUCAAAUAUCCUCAAGUCUUUUUAGCUUCUUGACUGAUCCAUCCCUCCCUUAGGUGUCUCAAAGAAGUUGCUCUAAUAUUGACGAUUCAAACUGCCUUUUUUCAUCUUUUCUAUUUCAAUAUGUAAUUUCCAGCCAAGCCAGUCUCCUACUUGCAGCUAGCA